Long non-coding RNA from Daphnia pulex (common water flea), 391 nucleotides. RefSeq lists it as uncharacterized. The transcript has 3 exons. The record is from RefSeq and is a predicted model, not a curated record. NCBI's taxonomy places the organism in Eukaryota, Metazoa, Arthropoda, Branchiopoda, Diplostraca, Daphniidae.
UGUGGGCUUAUGGGACUCGGCGACUCGUUGUCUAAAUCUAUUUUCAGCUACAGCUAUUUUCUUCGAAAGUUACAAAUGAACACAUAGGUUAAUUCGAGUGAUUUCAUUUGUAACUUGUCUGUGAUGUGUUCUAUUCCUUGUACAUGUUGGAUAACCUUAGUGUUGUUUCUCAUCAACUGACAGAAGGAAACGUAGCCUACCGUUGACUAUUUUGUUCAAAAUGUGCCAUCGAAAUGACACAGGAUUCAUCAUAAUUAUCUGCUGUAAGAAUUUGACUUGCUAUAUCACCAACCCCAUCACGGACCAAUCUCUCAUUCCAUCUUCUAGGGAACCUUAGCUAACUGUUUGGUGGUUUCAUGUGUUUGAAACUACACAUGGUUUCUAAAUUUGC